CGUCAAGUUAAAUCUGGAGGUCUUAAUGGUCGCCCUGAAAAACUCCCUGAUGUCUGCUAUUCAUGGUGGGUUCUUUCUAGCUUGAUCAUGAUUGACAGGGUCCACUGGAUUAAUAAGGAAAAGCUGAUUAAGUUCAUCUUAGACUGCCAGGAUACAGAAAAUGGAGGAAUUUCAGAUAGACCAGAUGAUGCUGUUGAUGUCUAUCACACAUACUUUGGAAUAGCAGGACUUUCACUUCUUGAAUAUCCAUCAUUGAAAGCCAUAGAUCCAGCG
RNAcentral lists this unclassified non-coding RNA (273 nucleotides) under Hevea brasiliensis (rubber tree). The record is from RNAcentral. Lineage: Eukaryota; Viridiplantae; Streptophyta; Magnoliopsida; Malpighiales; Euphorbiaceae.